UAUUGUGAUUGUGUAUAGGUACAAAAGGAGCUAAUAACUUUUCUUCCUGUCGUCGCUGGCGAAGUGUCGUUACUUCGUUUCCUUAUUCCUCUCACUCAAAUUUACUCCUGUUUUCCUCGAUUUUUGUUUUGCCACCAAACCCGUUCCUCAACUUUCCUACCAGGAAUAAAUAUUUUGAUUGAUAUCGUUUUCAUCGUUCGAUCGCAUUUCCAUUAGCUGAUGAGCUCGUUGAGCGAACGGUCCUCCCGAUUGGAUAGGAAACGAACAGAAAGGGGGACAGAAGCAGGAAGAACCGGAGAAGAAAAAUAAAAAAGUAUCCAGGCUUUGUGUACCGGUUGACAAGUUCCAACGACGUGCUGCGAGAUUAACGGAAAUUGCUGGUCUUACACGGGGGAUUGUGCAGAAAAUAGCAGGGAUAAUGCAAAUGAACCGGUGAAUUGAUCUUCCAAAUAGAAGUGGAAAACUUUUUAUAGGUUAUUGUAUAGAAAGCGAUUUUAUAGGAGAACUAAUGAUUGGAAUAAGGUAAUUCAGAUAGAGAUAGAUCGACGGGGAAGUUGGAUCCGGUAAGUAGUUCCCAAACUCUGUUUCAGAGGUGCAAUGCGUCGAAAACGAUCGAGUUUAUAUAUGUAUUUUAGACUUCUUUUUUCUUAAUAAUUCAAUUAUAGUAUAUUAAAUUUAUUAUUGAUGAUUAUCAGUGUCUCUUAUGACAAUGAAUAUAUUGAUCCAACUUAUUAACCUAGUUUCAAAUUCUCGUAUAAUAAUUCUAAUUAAAGCAUUCAGGGGGGUCUAAAUGGAAGGUGCAAGAAGAAGGGCAUCAUUAUAACGUGUCACCGAAGAAAAUUGCCAAGGGCUAGGAGAACGUGUAGGAAACAUUCAAACGACGUGUUCUCCUCCUUUACGUGCUUGCAUCGAAUCGAUAACUCCAUGUUACGCGCUCGUUGUCCUCUUACGGACGGUGCGCUGACCUCUGACGAGUUUCCGAAGCUGGGACAUCCAUCAUCUCGGAAGUCCGUCAGGAUAGGGGAGAGGCUCGUCUAUCAAGGGACCGAUUAGCGACGAUAAAGAUCUCGAAAUGAAUGGACCGUGCCACUCGACCGGCUCAUUGUCCUCCCGAGCGUGCAACGACCACCCUCUGCUCCGUUGCACAAUGCUUCACCCCCUAUGUUUUUGCUAAACAAGAGUGAUGCUCGAAAUUAUUAACCCUUUUGUCACGGAAAACACCAAUAGACGUUCAAUUUUCUGCUCCGUUUUUUGAGAAAUAUUAAACAAUUAUUAAAUUGUCAAUUAACUUACUAUUAAGGAAUUAUUUUCUUACAGAACUACUUGAAUUUUACUGUCAAGAAAUUCAAAAAUUAUUAAGUAAGUAAGUAUUUACUGAAUUUUAAUUAAUAUUUUUAAUAUUUCCGUAAAAAUUAUAUUAUUAAUUUCAAAUAGACGAUGAAUUAAAUUAAUUCAUUCUAGAGUAUACCAUAAUGUCUAUUUCUAUUUAUGUAUCUGGUAAAUGGAAAGGUUUAAGGAAUCAAUUACACGGUACACAAAAAUUGUACACGAUAUCGAAGUCUUAUCAAUCAAUUUUCCAAUAUUUACCACAAACAUUUUCCACACUACACCGAAUACCAGCCACAUAAAUUUACUUUAAUCGUGACAGCUAAUGAAAAUGGAUUACCGUUCCUGCUUAAGCAAACAAUUUUCACUCGAGUUCACUGAAUCUAUC
Molecule: long non-coding RNA, 1714 nt
Organism: Osmia lignaria (orchard mason bee)
Lineage: Eukaryota; Metazoa; Arthropoda; Insecta; Hymenoptera; Megachilidae
Source: RefSeq, a predicted model, not a curated record